GCUUGUGGAAGUGGAAGUGGAAGUGGAAGGCAGCCAGGAAUGUGGGUGCGUAGGAGCCGAGCACAGAGACUGGAUGUCACCUCCCCAGCUGCCACUUCACUUUCUUCCAGGCGACCAACGCCCCCCCAUGAGCAGUACCUCUGAGAAGUAGUGGUGAGAAACUGUACCUAUUUGUGAUCCUCCUCUGAACUCUCUCUGCUUUCAAAAUGUCCAUUCCAAAGCCAGUUGUGGUGGUGCAUGCCUGUAAUCCCAGUGCUCUGGAGGCUGAGGCAGGAGGAUCUCGAGUUUGAGGCCAGCCUGGGUUACACAGUGAGUUCAAGACUAGCCCAAACUAUAUAGUGAGACCCUGUCUCAAAAAAUCAAAACCAAAGAAAAAGAAACAUCCAUUGCAGUGUCCCUGCCCUUCCUCUGCUUUAGUCACUUGCUUACGUGUCCUUCCCCGUGGCUAGACAGCUCCUUGAGAGCAGAGUGCAUGCCUGGCUGGUCUCUGUGUCGAACAGGGCUCCAGGCCUGGGCCAAGUGAGGCCCCGAGAAGUCUGUGCCAAGCAGGAUUUGUACACUGGGAGUUGGAACCAGGCUGCAGUCAAUCUGGCCCUGAAAUUCAUUUUGGGAAAUACUUACUUUUCUCUCAUUGCUGAGACAAAAUAUACGACCCCCAGAGGUGAAGGAGGAAAUGUUUAUUUGGCUCACAGUUCAUGGAGGUUUCAGUCCAAGGCUUGCUCCAAGGCAGGGUGGCAGAGGGGCAGCAAUUCAUGCAGGAAGGCAGCAAAAGCAACAAGGGACCUUAACAGUGUCUUUCUGUCCCUUUUAUUCAGACUACUUAGGGCGGGUAGCACUCAGUCUUAAUCCUAGUGCCCUCGGGCCUUGCCCCACAGUAAAUCAGUCACACACUCAGCCACUUCCAGAGUAGCCUGUGACCACGUGAGGCUCUGGGGGCUCUAGACACAGCCCUAACACAUGUGCCGGACCUUGCAGUCACACAGAGUCAUAAGGAAAAGGGAAGGAUGAUGUCCUUCUAGAGCAGAUCCCAUCCUGAGUGGCCACUCUCCUGUCCCUGGUGGGGUUUCCCCGUGUCAUGCACUUCGCGAGUAGGGAUGCUUAUCCCCUAGUCAUGUCCAGGUUAAGUCAGAUGUAACUGACGUCUGAGCGUGAGGAACUCUCUCCUAUCUUUAUGAAGACAUGUCCUCCGAGUAGCUUCCCGCGUGGAGGAAGAACAGAGACAGCAGCCUCUGCUGGGGCCCAGUGAGGCAGUCCGGGUCCUGGGCAGGAGGACAAGAACGAAGACCACCGCCUGGGCUGAGCGCUGUCUGGAC
This 1313-nucleotide long non-coding RNA is filed under the name Heterocephalus glaber (naked mole-rat). RNAcentral's name for it is "lncRNA (ENSHGLG00100042645.1)". The record is from RNAcentral. Lineage: Eukaryota; Metazoa; Chordata; Mammalia; Rodentia; Bathyergidae.